GGUCUCUGGGCUACAAUGAAAAGAGGAAACAGAUACUAGGAUAUUUUUUAAGACAGCUGUUUGAUUUCUUCUCAAAAUCACUGCUGCCUUCUGAGCUUUCCUCUUGCUCCUGUGAGUAAGGGGAGGAGUCUGUUUUAUACCUGCAUGUGCCAGAUGUGAGAACUGUGUGUCAUCGUGAUAUCAUGCCUAUUAACCCAAGUGAGACCUCCAAGGAAGGAGAUGCCAAGUAGUGCUUCAAAGCUUCGGACCACAAUCAAACACAGCAUCCUUUUCAACAGAAGCAGAAGCUCAUCUGAAUAUGCUCAUGGAUGCUGACAUCAACAUUUAAUCAUCUCCUCACUCAUCCAGGAAGAGGGGGAGAUCAGUUACUACUGUACUUUAUUGUGUUCAACCAAAUCACCAUGUUACAAAAAUAGCAAGCUGCCAUAAUAAAAAA
This 436-nucleotide long non-coding RNA is filed under the name Rattus norvegicus (Norway rat). Its description in RNAcentral is "long non-coding RNA NONRATT027004". The record is from RNAcentral. Lineage: Eukaryota; Metazoa; Chordata; Mammalia; Rodentia; Muridae.